Molecule: ribosomal RNA, 452 nt
Filed under: uncultured organism
Description: partial 16S ribosomal RNA
Rfam family: Bacterial small subunit ribosomal RNA
Source: RNAcentral
GUACACUCCUACGGGAGGCAGCAGUGGGGAAUCUUGCGCAAUGGGCGAAAGCCUGACGCAGCCAUGCCGCGUGAAUGAUGAAGGUCUUAGGAUUGUAAAAUUCUUUCACCGGGGACGAUAAUGACGGUACCCGGAGAAGAAGCCCCGGCUAACUUCGUGCCAGCAGCCGCGGUAAUACGAAGGGGGCUAGCGUUGCUCGGAAUUACUGGGCGUAAAGGGAGCGUAGGCGGACAUUUAAGUCAGGGGUGAAAUCCCGGGGCUCAACCUCGGAAUUGCCUUUGAUACUGGGUGUCUUGAGUAUGAGAGAGGUGUGUGGAACUCCGAGUGUAGAGGUGAAAUUCGUAGAUAUUCGGAAGAACACCAGUGGCGAAGGCGACACACUGGCUCAUUACUGACGCUGAGGCUCGAAAGCGUGGGGAGCAAACAGGAUUAGAUACCCUUGUAGUCCCAUG